Molecule: unclassified non-coding RNA, 244 nt
Filed under: Neophysopella vitis
Lineage: Eukaryota; Fungi; Basidiomycota; Pucciniomycetes; Pucciniales; Crossopsoraceae
Description: ITS2
Source: RNAcentral
GAAACCCUCUCACCAAUUCCUUUUUCUCAGGAAAAGGAUUUGGUGGAUGUUGAGUGCUGCCGUAGUUGGCUCACUUUAAAUACAUUAGUUGGUUCAUUCACUUGAUGUGGAAUGACUUGAUGUGAUAAACUAUCUUCAUCAAGGAAAGUAACAGCUUUCAUAGUUGUUUCUGCCAUGUCUCUUGUGGAUGAUAGCUUCUAACCACCAGGUAUUAUUGGGAAACUGAUAAUAUCAUUUUUUGAUU